CAGCCGCCGCGGUAAUACGAAGGGGGUUAGCGUUGCUCGGAAUGACUGGGCGUAAAGGGCGCGUAGGCGGAUUGUUUAGUUAGGCGUGAAAUUCCUGGGCUUAACCUGGGGACUGCGCUUAAUACAGGCAGUCUAGAGUGAGGAAGAGGGUUGUGGAAUUCCCAGUGUAGAGGUGAAAUUCGUAGAUAUUGGGAAGAACACCGGUGGCGAAGGCGGCAACCUGGUCCUUGACUGACGCUGAGGCGCGAAAGCGUGGGGAGCAAACAGGAUUAGAUACCCCCGUAGUCCCUGUCUCUUAUAA
Molecule: ribosomal RNA, 301 nt
Filed under: uncultured bacterium
Lineage: Bacteria
Description: partial 16S ribosomal RNA
Rfam family: Bacterial small subunit ribosomal RNA
Source: RNAcentral